UGGGGUUGUUUUCUUGACCAGAAUGGGAAGUGUCAUCUCUAGGGAAGCCCUUCUGCUCCUUCAGAAUGUUCUCUCAGCUUUUACCUUAUGCCUUACAUUACAAGUGAGAAGAAGCAGGAUGUUUAAAAAUGGCCAAGUUGAAAUAUGAUGUGGACUACUCAGACCCAGGGAAAGCUCCUUGCUUAGAUUUUCCAUUUUCAAAUACCUUUACAGGGUAUGAUCAUUUUAACUGUAGCUACCAUGGAAAAUAUUUAAAUACAUGAUUUGUUAUUUCCUUGAAAAUUCAGGGAGGACCUCCUUGUUGUCAUUGUCGGACCAUCAUCCGUUUCUCCCUUUCUUUAUAAUUGCUCCAACUUGUUUAUUGCUCCUCUCUUGAUUCAUGUUUUCCUGCGAACAUUGUAACCAAUUAUACCUUAAACUGCAGUCUAGACUAUAAGUGUUAUAUAGACUUCAGAGGAAUUACGAUCUUUCUUUUUCAAGAUGCUAUUUGAAGGAAAAGAUUCUCUUUAGAUGCCAUUUUCCUGCUAGAAGUCAGCCUCUGUUACCACUUCAAAAUCUGCUGAGCUGCAAAGGAGGUGCUUCAGACAGCUCUACAGAAAUUUUUCAAGAAAACUUUCAUAAGUUUCAGUUCUACAUGAAGCUUUACCGUAGCUAAUUGGAACCAGAAUAGUACCCAUUUUAAAGGAGCGAUAUCCAGAUUUUACCAUUGAAGAGACUGAGGUGCAGAAAGAUUGCAAUUCACCCAAAGACCAGAGUUUGCCAUUGAUUGAGAAGUUGAACCCCAAUCUACCAAUGAAGCAUAUAUGGCUUCUGAUGAAAACAAAUAUCACUGUGGCUGGGAAGUUGCUGGAAAGGCCAAUUUUCUUGAUUCAAGGCCAAGCUGAUGGAAAUAAUCAUUUCAAAUGACUUUUUGUUGCCAGCCUAGAAUAUCCAACAUUCAUUUUCGAAUGCAUCUGUAUUUUCAUAUCUUGCAUCCAUAAUUGACUAUUUUCAUACAAAAUC
Long non-coding RNA from Canis lupus familiaris (dog), 1002 nucleotides. RefSeq lists it as uncharacterized. The transcript has 4 exons. The record is from RefSeq and is a predicted model, not a curated record. Lineage: Eukaryota; Metazoa; Chordata; Mammalia; Carnivora; Canidae.